RNAcentral lists this ribosomal RNA (470 nucleotides) under uncultured bacterium. RNAcentral describes it as "bacterial SSU rRNA". It matches the Rfam family "Bacterial small subunit ribosomal RNA", at positions 28 to 507 of the family's 1533-position model. The record is from RNAcentral.
GAUGAACGCUGGCGGCGUGCUUAACACAUGCAAGUCGAACGAAGAUGCCGGAGUGCUUGCACUUUGGCAGACUGAGUGGCGGACGGGUGAGUAACGCGUGGGUAACCUGCCUUAUACAGGGGGAUAACAGUUGGAAACGACUGCUAAUACCGCAUAAGCGCACGGUAUCGCAUGAUACAGUGUGAAAAACUCCGGUGGUAUAAGAUGGACCCGCGUCUGAUUAGCUUGUUGGUGAGGUAACGGCCCACCAAGGCGACGAUCAGUAGCCGGCCUGAGAGGGUGAACGGCCACAUUGGGACUGAGACACGGCCCAAACUCCUACGGGAGGCAGCAGUGGGGGAAUAUUGCACAAUGGGGGAAACCCUGAUGCAGCGACGCCGCGUGAGUGAUGAAGUAUUUCGGUAUGUAAAACUCUAUCAGCAGGGAAGAUAAUGACGGUACCUGACUAAGAAGCACCGGCUAAAUACGUG